Molecule: non-coding RNA, 24 nt
Filed under: Arabidopsis thaliana (thale cress)
Lineage: Eukaryota; Viridiplantae; Streptophyta; Magnoliopsida; Brassicales; Brassicaceae
Source: RNAcentral
CAGCUUCCUCUUCGGUUCACCUGA